UUUAGUUUCGAUUAGUCGGUGUCAAUCUAAUUAUAAUUUUUCACAUGAAAAGUGACUGUUGGUAUUCUACGCUUCUAUGCCAUUCUAAUAGUUGUAUAAGUUUUGGUUUUGAACUCAAUUUCAUACCGUAAUUGGUCGACAUCCAUAAACUUAAACACUUAUUUUCUAUUUGCAUAUACUAACGGUUUUAUGUAUGAGAUUAUAGAUAAUAGAUAUAAAACUAAUAUUUACUUCCUGCGUCAACGAAACAACUCUUGUUUUGACGGACAAGUGAUUUAUAA
RNAcentral lists this long non-coding RNA (281 nucleotides) under Mytilus galloprovincialis (Mediterranean mussel). The record is from RNAcentral. Lineage: Eukaryota; Metazoa; Mollusca; Bivalvia; Mytilida; Mytilidae.